UAAAGAAAAAUUAAUCCGAAUCCGAACUCCACUAUCAAAUCCAAAACUUGAACCCUAACCUGAAUCUUUAAAAACUAGUAUCCAAAUCUGAAUCUGACUAAAAAUCCGAAAUCCAAACCCAAACUCAAAACAAUUAUUUUUAUUAUUUCAAAACAUAUUACAUUAGAUCUAAAUUUUUAAAUUACAAAUUCAAAUAUAACGCCAAACGUUUUGCUUUUUUUCCCUGUCCGAAAAUAUCUCUAUUUUUUCAGAAUUUUCAU
This 260-nucleotide long non-coding RNA is filed under the name Ananas comosus (pineapple). RNAcentral describes it as "long non-coding RNA (ACOM_LNC030245)". The record is from RNAcentral. Lineage: Eukaryota; Viridiplantae; Streptophyta; Magnoliopsida; Poales; Bromeliaceae.